Molecule: unclassified non-coding RNA, 190 nt
Filed under: uncultured Colletotrichum
Lineage: Eukaryota; Fungi; Ascomycota; Sordariomycetes; Glomerellales; Plectosphaerellaceae
Description: sequence contains ITS1
Source: RNAcentral
ACGCAUCUCUGGCGGCGAGGGUGCGCCCUGCUCCGGACCGAAAGGCCGUGCAGCGGGUGUUCCCGGACCGUCGAACCUUUGCAAACCCACUGUGCACUUUUGUCGGCAAAAGGGCCCUAGUGGCCCCGAGCCGGAUCACAAACACUUUGUCAAACGAAUGCAAGCGGACAUUGAGCCGCCUAAAACUUAA